This 753-nucleotide long non-coding RNA is filed under the name Trifolium pratense (red clover). RNAcentral's name for it is "long non-coding RNA (TPRA_LNC004202)". Lineage: Eukaryota; Viridiplantae; Streptophyta; Magnoliopsida; Fabales; Fabaceae. The record is from RNAcentral.
CAACACCAUGAAUCCAAGAUUAUCGACUAUCAUAUGGUUGACAAAUUUAUGAGCGGCAAACUUUAUACAUCAAAAGGUGUAACCUUUCAUAAACAUGCAAAGUAUUACUCUUAAUUAAAUUAAAAUUCACAAAACAUCAAAUUUCCAUAUAUCCAUAUAGUACUAGAUUAAUAAUUGAUAUAUCUAUUCUAUAAUACAAAUUAUUUAAUAAGGUAACAACUUCUUAUAAAUUGAAUAGGAGGUAGUAUUUUGUUAUUGCCCACUGGUCACUACUAGUUAUGUUUGUCACCUUUUCCAUCGCUAAUAUUUGACCCACCGCUCGUUGUUCUGAGAUUUCAAACACACAAAAAUAAUUAUGGAAAAUCAUUAAUGAGAGUAUUUUUAAAAAAAUAACAUUAAAUAAAGUUAAUUUUAAUAUCCUACAAAAAAAAAAGUUAAUUUUAGUAACAUUUGUUUAUAUUUGAAGCUAAAUUUUUUUGUUAACACUUUUACUCAUAAAUAAGGUCGGAGAGAGUACCAAAAAAGUAAAAGGUUGGAGAGAGUAUUUUGUUGUUGAAAUAAGUUUUGUGUGUGUGUGUAUAUUCAUUAUAUUUAAAAAUUUGAUGAAAUUAAAACGUACUGUAGUGAUGAAAUUAAUAAGUUUUGUGCUAAGGUUUGACGAGAAGAAAUAAAUUAAAAGAAAGAAGUUAUAAUUACGUACGUGAAUGUGGAUCUAACUUGUCUUAACAUGGAAUUCAACAUUUGAAUUGUGUU